UUGAAAGGGAAACGAUUGAAGUCAGUCGUACCGACGGAGAAUCAACUUUUUGGAGUGAGAGUCGAGGUAUUCGAGGAGUUUAAAAGCCCUUGCGUGUUUUCGUACUCUGCUUCUUGGGUGCACUUCUUCGUAUUGGUAGGUUAACAUCAAUUUUGGACGUUACAAAAUGAUCGGGGGAAUGUAGCUUCGAUUUUUCGAAGUGUUAUAGACCUUGGUAGAUGUGACGACCGGGAUUGAGGAUUGCAACGAAUGCUUUCGGGCUAUCCGUCUGACCUCUGGUGGUUGCUUUGGGGUCGAAAGCGUGCUUACGACUUCAAAGUUGGCUAUCAAAAGGCUAGAACGUGAUUAAAUUCGUUAAGGAUGUUGACGUA
This 371-nucleotide ribosomal RNA is filed under the name uncultured Glomeromycotina. RNAcentral describes it as "LSU rRNA". Lineage: Eukaryota; Fungi; Glomeromycota. The record is from RNAcentral.